GUUAGUUAGGAUCUUUAAACCCAAAGAAUUUGGCGGUAUCUCAUUCCAUUCAGAGGAACCUACCCCGUGAUUGAUAGUACACGAUUUACUUUACUUAAUUUACUUGUUUGUAUAUCUCCGUUAUCAGGGAAUCUUUUUAGAGUUAUAAUUCUCAAGAUUUAUAAUUAUAAAAUAUUUCAGGUCAAGGUGCAGCUUAUAAUUAAGAGGAGGUGGGUUACAAUAGAUUUUUGUUUAUAACGGAUUUGAUAGUGAAAUACUGUUGAUGAAGGUGGAUUUGAUAGUAAUUUGAUUAAUUUAAUUUAAUUGAUAUUGGCUCUGAGGUGUGUACACAU
This 332-nucleotide ribosomal RNA is filed under the name Nomadacris succincta (Bombay locust). RNAcentral's name for it is "partial 12S ribosomal RNA". The record is from RNAcentral. Lineage: Eukaryota; Metazoa; Arthropoda; Insecta; Orthoptera; Acrididae.